AUUGAACGCUGGCGGCAGGCCUAACACAUGCAAGUCGAACGAGUGGCGGACGUGUGAGUUAUGUCUGGGAAACUGCCUGGUGGGGGGGGAUAAAUACUGGACACGGUCGCUUAUCCCGCAUUACAUCAUAUGUGCCCAGAUGGGAUUAGCUUGUUGGUGGGGUAACGGCUCACCAAGGCGACGAUCCCUAUCUGGUCUGAGAGGAUGACCAGCCACACUGGAACUGAGACACGGUCCAGACUCCUACGGGAGGCAGCAGUGGGGAAUAUUGCACAAUGGGCGCAAGCCUGAUGCAGCCAUGCCGCGUGUAUGAAGAAGGCCUUCGGGUUGUAAAGUACUUUCAGCGGGGAGGCGUUACCCGCAGAAGAAGCACCGGCUAACUCCGUGCCAGCAGCCGCGGUAAUAC
Molecule: ribosomal RNA, 406 nt
Filed under: uncultured bacterium
Lineage: Bacteria
Description: partial 16S ribosomal RNA
Rfam family: Bacterial small subunit ribosomal RNA
Source: RNAcentral